This 465-nucleotide ribosomal RNA is filed under the name Vreelandella stevensii. RNAcentral's name for it is "partial 16S ribosomal RNA". It matches the Rfam family "Bacterial small subunit ribosomal RNA", at positions 338 to 795 of the family's 1533-position model. The record is from RNAcentral. Lineage: Bacteria; Pseudomonadati; Pseudomonadota; Gammaproteobacteria; Oceanospirillales; Halomonadaceae.
CCUACGGGAGGCAGCAGUGGGGAAUAUUGGACAAUGGGCGAAAGCCUGAUCCAGCCAUGCCGCGUGUGUGAAGAAGGCCUUCGGGUUGUAAAGCACUUUCAGUGGGGAAGAAAGCCUUGGGGCUAAUACCCUCGAGGAAGGACAUCACCCACAGAAGAAGCACCGGCUAACUCCGUGCCAGCAGCCGCGGUAAUACGGAGGGUGCGAGCGUUAAUCGGAAUUACUGGGCGUAAAGCGCGCGUAGGCGGUCUGAUAAGCCGGUUGUGAAAGCCCCGGGCUCAACCUGGGAACGGCAUCCGGAACUGUCAGGCUAGAGUGCAGGAGAGGAAGGUAGAAUUCCCGGUGUAGCGGUGAAAUGCGUAGAGAUCGGGAGGAAUACCAGUGGCGAAGGCGGCCUUCUGGACUGACACUGACGCUGAGGUGCGAAAGCGUGGGUAGCAAACAGGAUUAGAUACCCCAGUAGUA